GACGAACCGUGCGAACGUUAUUCGGAAUCACUGGGCUUAAAGCGCGUGUAGGCGGGCCGCCACGUCGGCUGCUGAAAUCCCCCGGCUCAACCGGGGAACGGGCACCGAUACGAGCGGCCUGGAGGGGGGGUAGGGGGGCCUGGAACUCCGGUGGAGCGGUGAAAUGCGUUGAGAUCGGAAGGAACGCCCGUGGCGAAAGCGAGGCCCUGGACCCUUACUGACGCUGAGACGCGAAAGCCAGGGGAGCGAACGGG
This 254-nucleotide ribosomal RNA is filed under the name uncultured bacterium. RNAcentral's name for it is "partial 16S ribosomal RNA". It matches the Rfam family "Bacterial small subunit ribosomal RNA", at positions 524 to 776 of the family's 1533-position model. The record is from RNAcentral.